Molecule: unclassified non-coding RNA, 3885 nt
Filed under: Hevea brasiliensis (rubber tree)
Lineage: Eukaryota; Viridiplantae; Streptophyta; Magnoliopsida; Malpighiales; Euphorbiaceae
Source: RNAcentral
CCCGCAUCCACCACCUUCCCCACUGCCCUUUCCCUCUCUCAGCCGUCGUCAGUCGUCACUCACUCACUCACUUUCUCUCGUCUUUCCCUCUGUGUAUUUCCAGCCUACAUAUAUCCUCUUCAUAUUUCCAAAAUGCUUUCUCAAUCUCAAUCUCAAUCCUAUUUCCUCUCUCAAUCCCCUAAAUUCUUUCCCUCCCACUCCCUCCACUUCUCUGCAAACACCGCCACCGCCACUACACUCUCUUUUCCAGCCCUCAAACUUCACUCUCCUCUCUCUCUUCAAAUCCACCCUAAGUUCGCUUCUACAAUGACCUCAAAUUCAAAAUUUUCUGAUCACUCCGAUACUCUUCAGUCACUACUCUCCGACGCCGACCUCGACCGCUUCGCUCAUGUCGCCAACAAGCUUGCUGAUGCCUCUGGUGAAGUCAUUCGCAAGUACUUCCGAAAGAAAUUUGAAAUUCUUGAUAAGGAGGAUUCGAGUAUGUGCGAUGUAUAAUAUGUGUUUUUUUAAAUAUAUUUACUUUUAUGAUGUGUGUAGUAUUUUUUUGCUACCUCAAGUAAUCGUAUUUCCAGCUGAAUUUGAGUUUUUAUUGACAAUGGGGAAUGGCGGGCUUCGUUUCAUUUUGUUGUCUAGAAAAUGUGGGAAAGGGAAGGGAAAAGACUGGAAAUUUUUUAGUUUUGUAAUUUAUGUUGCUUCAAUGGAGUUCUAGCAAGCUUUUCUAAGUUGAAAGCAAUUAGAACCUUCAUAUUUCUGGACUAUCGCCUUUAAAUUGUUCAAUAAUGGUUGUUUUGCUGAUAUUUGCGUAGAGGUUUCGAAAUUCUAAUAAAGGAUUAUCUGAUAUUAAAAUGUAGCUUGAUCAAAUUCCUUAACUUCGGUUCUAUAAUGAGAGUAUUUUGGAAAAAGAAACGCUGGUUCUAGGAAAUUUCUCUUUUGCUUCUGUUUUAGAUUUUUAUUAUAAAGUAAUUAAAUCACUAAGCCAAGUCCUUGCCUGGUUUACUUGAAGGGCAGACAAGCCUUUUCUUUAGUCUCAAAUUGCCUAACAUCUAGGCACCUAUCUUUAUUUCUUUUCUUAUUCUGCUCCUUUAACGCUAAUAAUGAUUGUGUCUGGCAUCUGUAACUUAGUGCGUUUGUUAGUUUCUAUUUAUAUCCUCAUUAUUCUGGUGUUCAAUUCACUAAAGGCCCUGUAACAAUUGCGGAUAAAGCAGCAGAGGAAUCUAUGGUCUCAAUUAUAUUGGAGAAUUUUCCAUCUCAUGCAAUGUGAGUUGCUCAUCAUAUUCUUAAACCCAUGUAGCACUUCUGUUUGAUUGCUGAGUUAAAAGUAGGGGGGAAGUGUUCCAAUCUUUAUUUUGUGGCUUUUCUGUAUCCCAGCAAUUGAAUUACUUGCUUAAUCAACUCAAAUGGAUACUUGGUUGAGUUGCUAAACUUAAUAAACCUGUUCAAUAGUUGGUUUAUUUCUGCUUUAACUUUUAGAAGAAUUUUGAUUGUAGUUAUGGUGAGGAGAAUGGUUGGAGGUGUAAAGAGAAGUUCUCUGACUAUGUUUGGGUUUUAGAUCCAAUAGAUGGGACAAAGAGUUUUAUUACUGGUGUGCCUCUAUCUGUUCCUUUUCUGUCAUCAAGUUAUGAUCUUUGAAGAAUUUUCUCAAGUAAUUCAAUGCUACUUUCAAUUGUUUCAGGUAAGCCCUUGUUUGGUACACUCGUUGCUCUGCUACAUAGGGGCAAACCAGUAAGUCUACCACCUGCCUUCUGGUUGCAAGAAAAGAAAGAAAGGAAUGGUUUUUAGAGUAAAUAGGCUUGUUGCAGUAUUUUGCAUAAAUAAAAAUAAGAUAACUUUUUGUUUUUGUGUAUUAUAGCUUUUGGAAUGGAAGAUGCUUUUCUUCCCCUCUUAAAUUUGAAAAUAGAGGAAAGUACCUACAUGAUCAGGCUUACCUAAGUUAAUAGUAUCAUAUUCUCAAAAAUUUAUAAGGCAGGGUGAACUGGAGUUGUAGGAAAUAAGGCAUUGCAACUCAUGUUCUCCUUUCUGACUGGAUAACUUCGGUGCAUUUAUUGGAUCUUUAAGAAGGGCAAUGUUUAUUAACAUUGAGCAAGCUACAAUUGUUCCUGUCUUUUAUAGAAGAACUAGAAUGUUGUCAUUCUGGUAUAACUAUAAAGAAGGGCUUGUUUGCAGUAACUUUGGGCUUGACAACAGUUGAUUGUAUAGCUUACCAAUUCCUUACAUCAUUAUAGAUCUAAUUGCUUUGCUUAAAUUAUUUUAUAGCUGUUCAUUUAUUUAUCACUUCAGAAAGGGCAUUAUGUUGUGCAAAAGUCUUAGGUUUGCAAUUACCAAGUCACAGGUCUAAGGCAUGAGAACAACCAACUUCAGGAAAAUAGGGAAGAAUAGGAGUGUCUACAGAGUUCUCUCCCCUGAACUUUUCUUUGGUGCAAACAUAGCAAGGCAACAGUCCUCUUCAUGUAAUAUUAUCGGAGCAUGUCUUAUGAAUGGUUGAUAAAAGCAUCACUCAUCUUUAUUCAUUUGUUGGUUUGCAUAUCCUUGUAAUAUUUUAAGCAUUUAAUCUCACUAUAAUAUUUAUUUGCUAGAAAAAUGCAUGGUAAGUUUUGAGUGCGCAGCUUUUAUGAGUGUUUUAUUCUUCCUAAAGUGCCAAAAAUCUUUUCACAGAUUGUUGGCAUAAUUGAUCAACCUAUACUGAGGGAAAGAUGGAUUGGGAUAAGUGGAAGGAGGACAACACUGAAUGGGGAGGAAUUGUCUACACGGACUUGUGCAAAACUGUCACAGGCAUAUUUGUACACCACCAGCCCACAUCUAUUCAGUGGGGAUGCUGAAGAGGCGUUUGCUCGUGUCAGAAGUAAGGUGAAAGUGCCAUUAUAUGGCUGUGACUGUUAUGCCUAUGCCCUUUUGGCUUCGGGAUAUGUGGAUCUUGUCAUUGAGUCUGGUCUCAAGGUAUGUGGUGCUCAUUUUCUUCUGCAUUGUUGAUUGGCCAGUUAUCAGUACACUUGACAUGCAUGGUUCAGUCUUCAUGGAGAACAAAGGACUGUCCUAACUAUUCAGUUUCAUUGUAGGUGGCAGAUCUUUUCCAGGAAAUGAAGAUUUAAUAGAAACUGGAGACCUUCUUUUUAUCAUUAUUAAUAUUCUUUUUAUACAGCAUCUUCGUAAUGAAUAUUGUGAAACUGCCCAAUGCAGUAAACAAUACAAAUCUAGAUCAAGCUUUUUGCAUUUACAUAUUUUCUUCUCUUUAAUUUGAUUCAAUAGCAUGUUGGUCUUGUUUCAUUUUCAUGCCCUGUAAAUCAUGUGUUCUGGAUUUUCUGUAUAUAUGAUGAAAUUUAUCCUUUUUUUUCCCCCUCCUCCUUUACCAGCCAUACGAUUUCCUUUCCCUUGUACCCGUGAUAGAGGGUGCUGGAGGUAUCAUAACUGAUUGGAAAGGACAUCAUCUUCAUUGGGAUGCUUCUCCAGAUUCUCGUGCAACAAGUAGGUUUCCAUUCUUUCAAGGUCACAUUAUUCUGAUUUGCCUUCAUUUGACACAGGAUUCAUCCCAAAAGUUGUGAGCCUAGUCUUCCAAUUAUUUGCAGACGGAAAACUUCCUUCAAUUCUUCAUUUAUUUUUCAGGUUUCAACGUGGUGGCAGCUGGGGACAAACAGAUUCACCAACAAGCACUAGAUUCAUUACAAUGGCAUUGAAGAUUUCCACAGAAUUGUGCAGCCCUCCUCUCCCCUAUUGCUUGGGGAUAAUUGGUGGGACUAUGUGCUCUGAAUUGUAAAAUUUCUACAUUUUGUUAUUUAGUUUAGUGCAAUCUAGGGUAGGUAGAUGACCUGUAGAAAUGAACAAAGUGGCAGCAAGAGUUAAAUAAAUUGACUUCACAAAAGUAUCUUUGAGGUUUGACAAAAUUAGUAAGGU